RNAcentral lists this ribosomal RNA (460 nucleotides) under uncultured bacterium. RNAcentral describes it as "partial 16S ribosomal RNA". It matches the Rfam family "Bacterial small subunit ribosomal RNA", at positions 338 to 795 of the family's 1533-position model. The record is from RNAcentral.
CCUACGGGCGGCAGCAGUGAGGAAUAUUGGUCAAUGGGCGAGAGCCUGAACCAGCCAAGUAGCGUGAAGGAUGACUGCCCUACGGGUUGUAAACUUCUUUUAUAAAGGAAUAAAGUGAGGCACGUGUGCCUUUUUGUAGGUACUUUAUGAAAAAGGAUCGGCUAACUCCGGGCCAGCAGCCGCGGUAAAACGGAGGAUCCGAGCGUUAUCAGGAUUUAAUGGGUUUAAAGGGAGCGGAGAUGGGUUGUUAAGUCAGUUGUGAAAGUUUGCGGCUCAACCGUCAAAUUGCAAUUGAUACUGGCAGUCUUGAGUACAGUUGAGGUAGGCGGAAUUCGUGGUGUAGCGGUGAAAUGCUUAGAUAUCACGCAGAACUCCGAUUGCGAAGGCAGCUUACUAACCUGCCACUGACAUUGAUGCUCGAAAGUGUGGGUAUCAAACAGGAUUAGAUACCCUAGUAGUC